CCACUAUCGGUGCUUCUACAUGCAGUAGACGCUGAGAGAGGAGCUUGCUCUUCUUGGAUGAGUUGCGAACGGGUGAGUAACGCGUAGGUAACCUGCCUUGUAGCGGGGGAUAACUAUUGGAAACGAUAGCUAAUACCGCAUAACAAUGGAUGACACAUGUCAUUUAUUUGAAAGGGGCAAUUGCUCCACUACAAGAUGGACCUGCGUUGUAUUAGCUAGUAGGUGAGGUAAUGGCUCACCUAGGCGACGAUACAUAGCCGACCUGAGAGGGUGAUCGGCCACACUGGGACUGAGACACGGCCCAGACUCCUACGGGAGGCAGCAGUAGGGAAUCUUCGGCAAUGGGGGCAACCCUGACCGAGCAACGCCGCGUGAGUGAAGAAGGUUUUCGGAUCGUAAAGCUCUGUUGUAAGUCAAGAACGGGUGUGAGAGUGGAAAGUUCACACUGUGACGGUAGCUUACCAGAAAGGGACGGCUAACUACGUGCCAGCAGCCGCGGUAAUACGUAGGUCCCGAGCGUUGUCCGGAUUUAUUGGGCGUAAAGCGAGCGCAGGCGGUUUGAUAAGUCUGAAGUUAAAGGCUGUGGCUCAACCAUAGUUCGCUUUGGAAACUGUCAAACUUGAGUGCAGAAGGGGAGAGUGGAAUUCCAUGUGUAGCGGUGAAAUGCGUAGAUAUAUGGAGGAACACCGGUGGCGAAAGCGGCUCUCUGGUCUGUAACUGACGCUGAGGGCUCGAAAGCGUGGGGAGCGAACAGGAUUAGAUACCCUGGUAGUCCACGCCGUAAACGAUGAGUGCUAGGUGUUGGAUCCUUUCCGGGAUUCAGUGCCGCAGCUAACGCAUUAAGCACUCCGCCUGGGGAGUAAGGUUGAAACUCAAAGGAAUUGACGGGGGCCCGCACAAGCGGUGGAGCAUGUGGUUUAAUUCGAAGCAACGCGAAGAACCUUACCAGGUCUUGACAUCCCGAUGCUAUUUCUAGAGAUAGAAAGUUACUUCGGUACAUCGGUGACAGGUGGUGCAUGGUUGUCGUCAGCUCGUGUCGUGAGAUGUUGGGUUAAGUCCCGCAACGAGCGCAACCCCUAUUGUUAGUUGCCAUCAUUCAGUUGGGCACUCUAGCGAGACUGCCGGUAAUAAACCGGAGGAAGGUGGGGAUGACGUCAAAUCAUCAUGCCCCUUAUGACCUGGGCUACACACGUGCUACAAUGGUUGGUACAACGAGUUGCGAGUCGGUGACGGCGAGCUAAUCUCUUAAAGCCAAUCUCAGUUCGGAUUGUAGGCUGCAACUCGCCUACAUGAAGUCGGAAUCGCUAGUAAUCGCGGAUCAGCACGCCGCGGUGAAUACGUUCCCGGGCCUUGUACACACCGCCCGUCACACCACGAGAGUUUGUAACACCCGAAGUCGGUGAGGUAACCUUUUGGAGCCAGCCGCCUAAGGUGGGACAGAUGAUGAGGUGAAGUCGCGAAGAGUAGUAAGC
RNAcentral lists this ribosomal RNA (1472 nucleotides) under Streptococcus thermophilus. RNAcentral's name for it is "bacterial SSU rRNA". It matches the Rfam family "Bacterial small subunit ribosomal RNA". The record is from RNAcentral. Lineage: Bacteria; Bacillati; Bacillota; Bacilli; Lactobacillales; Streptococcaceae.